RNAcentral lists this long non-coding RNA (1239 nucleotides) under Bemisia tabaci. RNAcentral's name for it is "lncRNA ENSSSA1UGG010935". The record is from RNAcentral. Lineage: Eukaryota; Metazoa; Arthropoda; Insecta; Hemiptera; Aleyrodidae.
AUGCUGGGGAGCCUCCCUGUCAGAAAAAAGGAUGUUGAGAAUACAUUUCUGAUCAAACGAUGUAGACAGUUCCGAGUUCUCACUGGAGUUUUUAGAGACGUGAAACGACCUAUCCUUCGCAGAAUCGGUAUAGUCGUUUGCGUUUUCUUCCACACGAAUGCCGCUCUCCUCCUGAUGGCAAUGAUCGUGGGUACCAGCUCCCUUACGGACUUUUUUUCGCGUAUAGGAAACAUUGCCAGUUUUAUUACCGUCAUGACCAUCACCUUUUUCUACACUCGUCGCGAGGAGAGAAUAACGCUCGUGUGUCAUGAAAUGGCAGAGCAGUGGCUCAAGUAUAAGAGAAAAGUCCGGUAUCCAAGCGGAAUCAAAACCAUCAAAAUGUGCGAGAGGAUGAUGAAGUUCAUGUUCUGGGUCUUGGUCAUCGGCUCAUUCAGCGUCUUCAACUUUUACACGACGUAUCCAAUCAUCGUCUAUUAUUUUUUCCCUCUCAAAAGUCAAAAAUAUAUUGCUUUUCCAUUAAGAAUUUAUUUUCCUUUCGAGUCAGCUCCGUACCUCCGAGCAUAUGUGUACUUUAUAAUGUGCGCUUGCAUAGGGUACUACUGUAUAUUGUUAGCAAUUAUAUCGAGCAUGUACCUUUGCCUAUUUUGCAAAUUAGAGGCUUCAUUUAUAUUGAACGGUGCAUUUUAUGAGCGGUUUCGCGUACAGGAGUUGAAUCCGCGGCCGAAAGGAAAUAUUGUCCGCAAAGACGAAAUCAUUCGAAAAUGGAAUGUAGCGCGCAUUGUCCUUAGCAUCAGUGAACAUCAAUCAUUGUACAGAAUGGCGGAGGACUUGAAAGAGUUUAUACGCGAGUCCAUAUUGGCCAUGUAUAUUGGAGCCAUAAUUGCUGUUACCUUCACUUCGUAUAUAUUUAUAAACGACCCAGAGCGUUAUGCGUACGGCGUGACGUUAAUGAUUAUUCCAGUCGUCCACAUAUUCGCAUUUUUUUUCAUGGCUUCCAGAGUCACUGUUGCCUGCGAGGAAACCGCAAAUAUUCUCUACCAAGAACAUUUGGACCUUCUGAAAGAGGGAUCUGAAAUUCGAUUCAAUGUCCUCCUGUUCUUGCUGAUGCGAUCUCAGAAACCUGUAGUCUUUGAGGCUGGUAGGCUUCGCGAGUUGACGUUAUUUAAUUUUGUUUCGUUCAUGCAGAAUCUGUAUUCGUUCGUGAUGCUCAUGCAUUCUCUCAAGGAGGCGACGCUGUGA